Long non-coding RNA from Equus caballus (horse), 1333 nucleotides. The record is from Ensembl. Lineage: Eukaryota; Metazoa; Chordata; Mammalia; Perissodactyla; Equidae.
CAGAGCCUAGGGGUGGUGGGCCGGGGGCUUGUUGUUCUUCUGGUGGCAUCUGGUCGCAACAGGGGAGUGGGUCACAGUGAUCAAGAGGCGCCACCGAGCAAAGACAGAGGCGGCUCUGAGCAGAGCCAGGGGCUCACGAAGAAAUGACGAGAUGACGGCUCCCGGAACGGAGCGCAGAGAUUGGAAAAAACAAAGCAGUUUCUUACACAGCUGAACGUUGUCUCAACAGAGGACCCAGAAAUCGUGCUCCUUGGUAUUUACUCAAAGGAGUGGAAAACUCAUGUCCACACCAAAGCCUGCACAUGGAUGCUUACAGCAGCUUUAGCCAUACUUGCCAGACCUUGGAAGCAGCCAAGGUGUCCUUCCAUAGGUGAGCGGAUAAAUAAACUGCAGUCCAUCCAGACAAUGAAAUACUACUCAGCGCUAAAAAGAAGGAGCUCUCAAGUCGUGAAAAGACAUAGAGGAAACCCAGGUGCAUAUUACUAAGUGAAAGAAGCCUAUCUGAAAAGGCCACGUACAGCAUGGUCCCAACUGGAUGACAUUCCGGAAAACGCAAAACUAUAGGGACAGUCAAAAGGCCAGGAGCUGGCAGGGGUUGGGGGGUGAUGCACAGAUGGUCAGGGCGGUGGUGGCAGCUGCCAGCCCAAGGGCUCGGUCCGGGUGUCAGAGGACAGAGGUGGUGGAGGAGUCCGGUGGGCCCUCCUGGGCUGCACCCACAGGAGGGGACUCCCUCCAUCGUCUGUCUCUGGGCCACGCCUGGGCAUGCGGGUUGCAUCUGGUUGGAUAAUAAGAUCGAGAAGACCUGCUUGCACGUCCCCCUCCCCUGGAGCCAGAAUAAAGCUCCCCCUGGAGGGGCCUUUCAGGGACAAGACACAUUCCCACGGGACCCGUUCCUGGCCCUCUGUCCAAAUGCAGGUUGUCGGUGACCUGACCCAAGGGACAGCCCACUCUGUUAUCAGCCACCAGCCCGGCAUUGUGGCGGCUUAUCAGAGCCGCUCCGGUUACCCACGGGGAGAGCCUGGUGGCCGCCCGCUCUAUCCUCCCAGCCUGCCCGCCUGGCCCGGCCUCAGGGGCCCCUCCUCUCCAGCUGUCGGUCCAGCGGCAUCACCCACAGCCUCCUGGAGCCCUGGGGUUCUGCGAAGGUGCCCAGAGACCAUCUUUCAGGGGCAGGGGCAGGAGGGGCUCCAGACCCCCAAUUCCCUUCGUAACCAUUACACCGGGAGACCUUGCAGGGUUUCUCUGAGAAAUGACUCCGGCUCCAACACGAUGAACCUUGAGGAUAUUAUGCUAAGUGAAGUAAGCCACACACAAACACAGAAACCGUAUGAUCCCA